GAUGAACGCUGGCGGCGUGCCUAAUACAUGCAAGUCGAGCGAACGGACGAGAAGCUUGCUUCUCUGAUGUUAGCGGCGGACGGGUGAGUAACACGUGGAUAACCUACCUAUAAGACUGGGAUAACUUCGGGAAACCGGAGCUAAUACCGGAUGAUAUUUUGAACCGCAUGGUUCAAAAGUGAAUGACGGUUUUGCUGUCACUUAUAGAUGGAUUCGCGUUGGAUUAGCUAGUUGGUAAGGUAACGGCCUACCAAGGCAACGAUGCAUAGCUGACCUGAGAGGAUGAUCAGCCACACUGGAACUGAGACACGGUCCAGACUCCUACGGGAGGCAGCAGUGGGGAAUAUUGGACAAUGGGCGAAAGCCUGAUGCAGCAAUACCGCGUGGGUGAUGAAGGUCUUCGGGUUGUAAAGCCCUUUUAUUGGGAAAGAACAGCAGUAGAUGAAUCUCUGGCUGUUCUGACGGUACCCAAAGAGUAAGCACCGGCUAACUUCGUG
This 497-nucleotide ribosomal RNA is filed under the name uncultured bacterium. RNAcentral's name for it is "partial 16S ribosomal RNA". It matches the Rfam family "Bacterial small subunit ribosomal RNA", at positions 28 to 507 of the family's 1533-position model. The record is from RNAcentral.